UGGGAGAUGGUGAAAAUAUCACGGGCGGUUGUCACUCGUCAGUUGCGUUUAAAGUAGCGUUCUUCCAU
This is a non-coding RNA of Ylistrum balloti, 68 nucleotides long. NCBI's taxonomy places the organism in Eukaryota, Metazoa, Mollusca, Bivalvia, Pectinida, Pectinidae. The record is from the annotation of a RefSeq genome assembly.